UACGAAGGGGGCUAGCGUUGCUCGGAAUCACUGGGCGUAAAGCGCACGUAGGCGGCUUUCUAAGUCAGGAGUGAAAUCCUGGAGCUCAACUCCAGAACUGCCUUUGAUACUGGCGAUCUCGAGUCCGGGAGAGGUGAGUGGAACUGCGAGUGUAGAGGUGAAAUUCGUAGAUAUUCGCAAGAACACCAGUGGCGAAGGCGGCUCACUGGCCCGGUACUGACGCUGAGGUGCGAAAGCGUGGGGAGCAAACAGG
This 253-nucleotide ribosomal RNA is filed under the name uncultured bacterium. RNAcentral describes it as "partial 16S ribosomal RNA". It matches the Rfam family "Bacterial small subunit ribosomal RNA", at positions 524 to 776 of the family's 1533-position model. The record is from RNAcentral.